Molecule: ribosomal RNA, 530 nt
Filed under: Ceuthophilus lamellipes
Lineage: Eukaryota; Metazoa; Arthropoda; Insecta; Orthoptera; Rhaphidophoridae
Description: partial 16S ribosomal RNA
Source: RNAcentral
AGGAUUUAAAAGUCGAACAGACUUAAAAUUUGAACUUCUACACCCAAUUUUAUCCUUAAUCCAACAUCGAGGUCGCAAUCUCUCUUGUCGAUUUGAACUCUCAAACAAAAUUACGCUGUUAUCCCUAAGGUAGCUUAUUCUUAUAAUCACUAUAAAUGGAUCAACAAAUCAUACAUUAAUGGUUUUAACUAUAAAGAGUUUAUUAAUUCUUUUCAUCACCCCAACAAAAUAAAUUUUAAUAUAAAUUAUAUAAACUUCUAAAAAUUAUAUUUAUAUAUUAUUUAUAAAGUUCUAUAGGGUCUUCUCGUCCUCCACUAUCAUUUAAGCUUUUUAACUCAAAAAUUAAAUUCUACUUAUUAUUAUUAGACAGUUAGUACUUCGUCAAACCAUUCAUUCCAGUUCCAAAUUAAAGAACUAAUGAUUAUGCUACCUUUGUACAGUCAAAAUACUGCAGCCCUUAAAUUACUUAUCAGUGGGCAGGCCAGACUUCAAAUUAUUUUCAAAAAGACAUGUUUUUGUUAAACAAGCGG